GGAGAAGUAAAUAAGAGCGUACGGGGGAUGCCUAGGCUCUCAGAGGCGAUGAAGGACGUGAUAAGCUGCGAUAAGCUUCGGUAAUUGGCACAUACGAGUUAACCCGAAGAUUUCCGAAUGAGACAACUCACUAUAUUGAAGAUAUAGUAUCUGUAAGGAGGCCAACCCGGGGAACUGAAACAUCUAAGUACCCGGAGGAAAAGAAAAUAAUAAUGAUUCCGCAAGUAGUGGCGAGCGAACGUGGAACAGCCCAAACCAAAGACGUUACGGCGUGUUUGGGGUUGUAGGACUAUAAUAUGGACUAAUAAAUUGAACGAGAAUUAACUGGAAAGUUAAGCCGUAGAGAGUGAAAGCCUCGUAUUGGUAAGAUUUAUUUACCUAGUAGUAUCCUGAGUAGGUGGGAGCCGGUGAAACUCCCAUUGAAACUGCCAGCACCAUCUGGUAAGGCUAAAUACU
RNAcentral lists this ribosomal RNA (456 nucleotides) under uncultured Flammeovirgaceae bacterium. Its description in RNAcentral is "bacterial LSU rRNA". It matches the Rfam family "Bacterial large subunit ribosomal RNA", at positions 1 to 474 of the family's 2925-position model. Lineage: Bacteria; Pseudomonadati; Bacteroidota; Cytophagia; Cytophagales; Flammeovirgaceae. The record is from RNAcentral.